UCACCUUCGCCUUGGAAAAACCAGUUUGUCUUUUUUAUUGUCUGUGAUCUACCUCUACUCUAAAAAUUCCACUGAACCUCGGACUACACUCCACGCUCUUUCCUUCCCAGCUGCCCUCAGCCCCUCUCCUCAACUCUGCUUCUCUUUGCUGUCCUCUCCUCCUUUCCUCCUUCCUUGAAGGGAAAAUUGCCGCUGCUCGGGACAACCUGUGCCCAGAGCUGCUUUGGCCUGCACAAGCCUGUUAAACUGGUGCUCUGCUCCCAUUCGCAGACUGCAAAUUCUUUUCUUCUCCUCUCACACACAUGACUCUUUAGCCAUCUCCCUGCUCUGUGUUACUAUUACAACAAAAAAUGAUUUGUUCUUUUCCAUCAAAUGCAAAGCCCGGCCCUGAUAUCUGAAGGUUGGGAGAUGCACACGUACAGUGACCUUGUCCUUCCUGCAGCACGCACCCCAGAGGGAAAGGAUCCCAAAUGUGGGCAAGGCUCUUGGCACACCGAAUUGAGGGGCCAAAGAAAUCAGUGCAUCAUGCGUAUCUGGAGGGUCCUCGACUUCUCCCAAGGCUGUGAUCCUGAAGACAGAUCUUUAUCCAGACCACGGGCCUGUGUGCAGGGCCCAGUUGCCGUGUGACAGGGCCUGAGAAGAAGGUCCAGGACCAUCCACGGGUUCUCUUGUCCUUCAUUCCACCGGAGUCUGUCUGCGGCAACCAGACUUCAGUGGAGUGAAGCUCAGGAGUCGUGGAGCUGCCGACGACAGUCACUGCAGUAGUGGUAGCAACCUCAGCUGAGUCACUCUGGCCUGGGAACGUGAGCACCCAUGAGGUGUGUGUCUGCUGGAAGACAUCUGGAGCGCAUGUUUUUCUGCAGAGGGGUGAAAAAUGGGCAGAUUGGAAACAGCACUGAGUUUCUUUUUUAAUAUCAAUGCUAUUGAAAUUAGUGUUUUCUAUGACAUGCUAAAAUUAAAAGUUGCCCAUCUGCUAUAAAAGUUCUCUGCCU
This is a long non-coding RNA of Cavia porcellus (domestic guinea pig), 992 nucleotides long. RefSeq lists it as uncharacterized. Lineage: Eukaryota; Metazoa; Chordata; Mammalia; Rodentia; Caviidae. The record is from RefSeq and is a predicted model, not a curated record. The transcript is spliced from 3 exons.